RNAcentral lists this long non-coding RNA (3069 nucleotides) under Homo sapiens (human). RNAcentral's name for it is "non-protein coding lnc-SPATA21-6:3". The record is from RNAcentral. Lineage: Eukaryota; Metazoa; Chordata; Mammalia; Primates; Hominidae.
CGGUGCGGCCCCUCGGCCUCGGCGGCAGCGGCUGCGGAGAAGGCGAGCGAAGGUAGGAGGCUGGGGGUGCGCGCGUGCGCGGGGGCUGGACCGACGCGCUCCGGGCGAAGGAGGCCGCUCGCCUGGGGGCGGGCUGGAGCCAUGUCCCGGGGCUAGGGGCGCUGUGGGCGCCGCGCCCGCCGCUGCCCGGCACCGGAAGCCAAGAGGGCGUUCCCGACGGGCUCCGCAGAUGCCCCUCCGCGUCCUGCCGCCCAUCCUGCCCGGAUUGUCGCGGGCCGGGGGCGCGACAGGAGGCCGAGGCCUGCCCGGGCGCAGAGGCCUGCCUGGGCGCAGCGGCCUGCAGGGCGCAGCCGUCCCUCCGCCGGUCGGGGUCCCCUCGCUCCGCGGGCGGCCGUGGGAGGCCCUCGCGACGGCCGCUACCCCUCGCAGAUGCCCUCUGCAGCUCCUGCGUGCGGGCCCCGCCCUGCACUGCCCUCCUAGUGUGGGACGCGGUUUCGUCUUCAUUGCAACCCUGCCGAGUCGGAAGCAUCUCCAUUGUGCGGAUGGGUAAACUGAGGCCCAGAGCGCGCGGUUGGGCUGGCCACGGAGGCAGGGCCGCCGGAUGCUGUGCGGGGAUGGGGCCCUGCACCCCUUGCGCCUCUCACCAUGGGGCCUCAGGCCCCUGUGCCCGGCAGCGUCUCUGGAGUGGGCAUUUUGAACGAGCUCCCUCCUGAUUUUCACACAGACUUAAGCCUGACGACCGUGCUGGGGCGGAUGUCUGCCCCUCUGGUGACCAGGUCACAGCUCCCUUGGGAAGACGAUUGACUGGGGAAUGGGGACCCUGGGGAGGGGGCCUUCAGGGUGCCAUCUGUCUGUUUACGCCAGAAAACAGAGAUUUCUGUUUUCUUUCGCUGGGCUCACAGCAGGUGCUUAAUAAACAGAUCUUGUGGCGGGAGCAGAGGACAGCGAGGUUCAGGCACGACUCCAGGAGUCAACCCCUGGAUCUCGGAGGCUCCCCACCCGCGCACAUUUCCCUGACUUAACCCUCCCCUCCCCAGUCUUUCAGCCCUAGGAGGGGAGGCCCCCUUUCCACCCAGGUGGCCCCUGUGGGGGUCACUCCCUGGUUUUCACCCUGAACUUCUGGGAUGCGGCAGAUGCUGGAUAUGUGUUCGCUGGUGUCCUUGGCUCUUAGCAUUCAUUAAUUCAUUCAGCAGCUCUUCAUGGAGCUUUGGCCUUAGCCCAUGCACUGUGGAAGUGGCAGUGAACUAAGCCAACCUGGCACUUUGGGAGGCUGAGGUGGGAGAACGGCUUGAGCCCAGGAGUUGGAGACUAGCCUGGGCAACAUCUCAUCUCUACAACAAGUAAAAAAUUAGCCAGGCAUGGUGGCAUGCACCUGUGGUCCCAGCUACUCAGGAGGCUGAGGUGGCCUCCCAAAGGCCCCCCCUCCUGGGCCUCCCUUAAGCCCAGGAGGUCAAGGCUGCAGUGAGCCAUGAUUUUGCCACUGCACUCCAGCCUGGACAACAGAGCAAGACCCUGUCUCAAAGAAAAAAAAAAGGAGGAGACAGACAACAUACAUGUUGGAGAAAACGGAACAGCCACUGGAGGGACCUCUUUAGCUGAGAGUCAGGGGUAGGUCCCUCAGAAGGUGAUACUUUUGAGCAAAAAUCUGGCCGACAAGCGGGGGAGUCAGCUGUGCAAAGGAAGAGGGAAGAGCGUCCCAGGCAGAGAAAGUGGCAGUGCAAAGGCCCAGAGGUGGGUGCAUGCCUGGUGUUUGAGGAAUCAAGAAGGCCAUGAGCAGCCGGGUGUGGUGGCUCACACCUGUAAUCCCAGCACUUUGGGAGGCCAAGGUGGGUGGAUCACUUGAGGUCAGGAGUUUAAGACCAGCCUGGCCAAUACAGUGAAACCUCAUCUCUACUAAAAAUGCAAAAAUUAGCUGGGCAUGGUGGUUCAUGCCUAUAAUCCCAGCUACUCGGGAGGCUGAGGUAGGAGAAUUGCUUGAACCCAGGAGGCAGAGGUUGCAGUGAGCAGAGAUCGUGCAUUACUGCACUCUAGCUCCAGCGUGGGCAACAGAGCAAGACUCUGCCUCAAAAAAAAAAAAAAAAGAAAAAAAAAAAGGAGAUGAGGUGGGAGAAGUGGAGUGGGACCAGAUCUGGUGGGCCCUGUGGGCCAUGGAAGGACUUUGAACUUCAUUUUAGGUGCGGUAAGGGCUAGUAGAGGGCCUUGGGUAGGGGAGGGAUAUGACCUUUACUGUGUGAAACUUGAGUGGGUGAGGGGAUGAGCAGGAAGCAUAGAGACCCUCGGGGAGCCAUCUCAGCAGUCCAGGCAGUGGCUUAUAUAAUACACAUCGGCGUCCUGGGGUGGUGCCAGGUACACAGCAGGCGCUGCAGGAUGGAAGUCAUUGCCGUUACUGGUUUUGUUUAUUUGAGACAGGGUCUUGCUCUAUCACCCAGGCUAGAGUGCAGUGACACAACCAUGGCUCAUUGCAGCCUCAACCUUCCAGGCUCAAGCAAUCCUCCUGCCUCAGCCUCUCAAGGAACUGGGACUACAGGAGGUGCAUGCCACCAUGCCAGGCCAAUUUUUUGUAUUUUUUUUUUGGUAGAGAUGGAUUCUCACUAUGUUGCCAGGGCUGGUCUCAAACUCCUGGGCUCAAGCAAUCCUCCUACCUCAGCCUCCCAAAGUGUUGGGACCACAGGUGUGAGUCACUGCACCCGGCUUGCUGUUAUUAUUUAAAACUCUGGGCUGGGCGCAGUGGCUCAUGCCUAUAAUCCCAGCACUUUGAGAGGCCGAGGCGGGUAGAUCACUUGAGGUCAGGAGUUUGAGACCAGCCUGGCCAACAUGGUGAAACCCUGUCUCUACUAAAAAUACAAAAAUUAGCUGGGCGCGGUGGCGCAUACCUGUAAUCCCAGCUACUCAGGAGGCUGAGGUAGGAGAAUUGCUUGAGCCCAGGAGGCGGAGGUUGCAGUGAGCCGAGAUUGUGCCAUUGCACUCCAGACUGGGUGACAGAGUGAGACUCCAUCUCAAAAACAAAACAAAACAAAACAAACAAACAAAAAACAAAAACCCUUUGGAAUCAGGCACACCUAGGUCGCG